ACUAGAGCCAUAGCUCAGGCUAAUGAAUAGUAGUCCGAUCAGAGAACCAAGCAUAUUCUACAUCACUUUCACCUUGUCUGCGAGAUGUGGAUUGAGGUGACGUCGAUCUUCAGAAGAUUGACAGAAAGAAGAACUUGACUGACCCAUUUACUAAAACCUUCGAAACCAAAAAGUUCGACAAUCAAAUAGAAGUUGGGUA
RNAcentral lists this long non-coding RNA (199 nucleotides) under Elaeis guineensis (African oil palm). Its description in RNAcentral is "long non-coding RNA (EGUI_LNC037482)". The record is from RNAcentral. Lineage: Eukaryota; Viridiplantae; Streptophyta; Magnoliopsida; Arecales; Arecaceae.